AGUCUGAAACUGAGGGAAGCACGGUGAAAAUCCGUCACAGCAGUCACUACCGUAAAGUCGGAUCGCUCGUCAGACA
This 76-nucleotide non-coding RNA is filed under the name Ruminococcus flavefaciens. RNAcentral also lists the same sequence under 1 other name. The record is from RNAcentral. Lineage: Bacteria; Bacillati; Bacillota; Clostridia; Eubacteriales; Oscillospiraceae.